This is a transfer RNA of Ovis aries (sheep), 73 nucleotides long. It matches the Rfam family "tRNA". Rfam says of the family: Transfer RNA (tRNA) molecules are approximately 80 nucleotides in length. Their secondary structure includes four short double-helical elements and three loops (D, anti-codon, and T loops). The record is from Rfam. NCBI's taxonomy places the organism in Eukaryota, Metazoa, Chordata, Mammalia, Artiodactyla, Bovidae.
UCCCUGGUGGCUCAGACAGUAAAAGAAUCUGCCUGCAAUGCAGGAGACCCAGGUUCCAUCCCUGGGUUGGGAA